UUGCUCCUACGGGGCGCAGCAGUGGGGAAUAUUGCACAAUGGGGGAAACCCUGAUGCAGCAACGCCGCGUGAGUGAAGAAGUAUUUCGAUAUGUAAAGCUCUCUCAGCAGGGAAGAAGAUGACGGUACCUGAGUAAGAAGCCCCGGCUAACUACGUGCCAGCAGCCGCGGUAAUACGUAGGGGGCAAGCGUUAUCCGGAUUUACUGGGUGUAAAGGGAGCGUAGACGGCAUAGCAAGUCUGAAGUGAAAGCCCAAGGCUCAACCAUGGGACUGCUUUGGAAACUGUUAAGCUAGUGUGCUGGAGG
This 305-nucleotide ribosomal RNA is filed under the name uncultured bacterium. RNAcentral describes it as "bacterial SSU rRNA". It matches the Rfam family "Bacterial small subunit ribosomal RNA", at positions 333 to 655 of the family's 1533-position model. The record is from RNAcentral.